Molecule: long non-coding RNA, 246 nt
Filed under: Physcomitrium patens
Lineage: Eukaryota; Viridiplantae; Streptophyta; Bryopsida; Funariales; Funariaceae
Description: long non-coding RNA (PPAT_LNC010889)
Source: RNAcentral
AGGAGGCUUAUUGGGAGGGAUGAAAGCAAGGCAUAGUUGGAUGAAGGCAAGGAAUGGAGAUCUUUAUUCCUAUUGGUCAAAGUCCAUGCCCAAUGGGCUUCAAGGAGGCUGGCCGAGGCCUUAUUGGGUAUUAGGAUUACUUUUUUGAAGUCAUUCGAGCUUUAUAGGCUAAGGUAAUCAUGUUUAGGUUUUUGAGUACGGAUUGGGUGCAAAUUUUGUAUGAUUUGGAGUUUUUAUGAAGGAUUU